RNAcentral lists this ribosomal RNA (403 nucleotides) under Unio mancus requienii. RNAcentral describes it as "partial 16S ribosomal RNA". It matches the Rfam family "Bacterial large subunit ribosomal RNA", at positions 1914 to 2560 of the family's 2925-position model. The record is from RNAcentral. Lineage: Eukaryota; Metazoa; Mollusca; Bivalvia; Unionida; Unionidae.
AAAAUUUUAAACGGCCGCGUUAGCGUGAGCGUGCUAAGGUAGCGUAAUAAUUAGCCUUUUAAUUGGAGGCCAGUGAAUGGCAAGACUAGGAAUACCUGUACUUUGUGUAUAAAAAAAACUUUUCAUCUAAGUGAAAAGACUUAGAUAACAAAGGAAGACGAAAAGACCCCGCGGAACUUUACCUUUUCUUUAUACCUCUGCAUACAAGCUUAAAAGUAUAUAAGGUUUGAUUGGGGCAAUCUUGGAACCAAUAAAGCUUCCAACCUUUAUACAAAAACAUAUAAAAUUUAUUAAGGACCAUAAAGUAGUUACCCCGGGGAUAACAGCGUAAUCCAACUUAAGAGUACACAUCGAAAGUUGGGUUUGCGACCUCGAUGUUGGCUUAAGGAUAUCCACAUAAGUG